GUAUUAUUCAGUCACAUUUGAAAAGUUUCAUACCAAAUAUGUUCACGUAAUAUCUAAGAUAUACGACAGAGUUUAAGUUGUGUGGGUCGAUGAAAGGAAAACCGGAAAGAAUAUAAAUCGUUUGAUUGAGGACACAUAUAAGCAGAUUUGAAGAAUUUCUUCAUGCUUUCUCCAACGAACGUUGACUGUAACGACUAAAAGAUCGUUAAAGUACAUGCCAUAUAUGUAAUGUUGCAGUCACGUAGGUCAGGAUCAUAAGAUUGUAAUUUAUUGUUUUUGUGUAUAAAAGAAAUUGUUCAAAGUUCAAAUUACAUUUGAAAGAGGCGCGCACCAUUGUGGAAAGUAUUAAAUUGAACCACGCCUUCCUAUUUAUCUCUGUAAAAAGAAAUAAGAAGAUAACAAAAAAUUGUCCUUUUCUCUUAGAGAGAAGAAAUAUUAUUGCGGUAAACAUCAUUCGAAUGACACACGGAAGGCCAAGAAAAUUCUUGCACUUUCACCGUGUUAAUGGAAGAUGCGCCAAGGAAAAAAGACAGAGAGGAAUAUAGGAACUCUCUUGCUCGUUUAUUAAACGAUGCUACACAACACUGACAUGUAUACGCGUAUAUCUCGAAUCAAAAUUAAUUGACGGAAGUACGAUGUAUUUCGCAUACGUUUAGCACCUUUUUAGCAUCCGCUUGAGCAAGAAACUUUGUUGGGGACACUAUAACCAUGCAUCCGUUCGUGAUUAAAAAAAAAAUAGAAAAAGAGAUAAUAGUCAAGUUCUCUUCCAAUCAUAUUAAUUAAUAGAACACAAUAUCUCCUAGACUAGAAAAAGAAGAAGAAGAAGAAGAGCGUAAGUUCAAAGAGACAAGGAGAGGUCGACGUUGAUUUUCAACUCGGCUAUCCCUAUUGGUAGAGAUUUCAUCGCGGGAAGACACUUCGGAAACCUCUGACCUUACUGCCAGCUUUCUCCCAUAGGAUUCGAUUAGAGUCGCUAUGAUAUUCUUCUAAUAAUCAGUUAAAGGAUUCUCGAAAAAAUACCAGACUAACAACUGAAAACUGCUAUUCGUGAUCACCGAAGAGACCUUCCUUUCUCCAUAAAGGCGAUUCUCGUUUGCAAAUACCGCGACACGAAGACCUAAAAGAAUCUUCAUCGAAAUCCUUACACCCACACAUUAAUCGUACUAUGUCAGUGCUUAUGUUGGUGUAAGUCAGAGGAUACCUAUGGAUACUUGUAAAUAGACGUAGACGGUUGUAAGUGCAAAUAUCGUGCCAUCUACGAUGGGGGACCUGCUUCAAAGACAACUUUCGCCCUCCAAGGCUGAGAAGAUUCCUCGAGUCGAGCUCAUCCCAAGUAUAAUAGACGUCUCGACGGUCAUUGAAAAAUAUAAUACUCUUACUCGUUAAUUAACCGUUAUGAGUAACAUGUAACCAUUGCGCAAUAUCUCUUUCUAUCUCUAAUGGUGUUAAUGGAUAAUAAGGGAAUGACAAAAAAAUAUAAAUUGAUAAGCUCGACGACAAAUGUAUCAUCUUGUUUUCUAAAGAGAACAACUAUCGAACAAGGUUUUUCAAAUACCAAAAA
This 1561-nucleotide long non-coding RNA is filed under the name Polistes fuscatus (common paper wasp). RNAcentral's name for it is "uncharacterized LOC122525468". The record is from RNAcentral. Lineage: Eukaryota; Metazoa; Arthropoda; Insecta; Hymenoptera; Vespidae.